AUUGAACGCUGGCGGCAGGCUUAACACAUGCAAGUCGAGCGGGGGAAGGUAGCUUGCUACCGGACCUAGCGGCGGACGGGUGAGUAAUGCUUAGGAAUCUGCCUAUUAGUGGGGGACAACAUCUCGAAAGGGAUGCUAAUACCGCAUACGUCCUACGGGAGAAAGCAGGGGAUCUUCGGACCUUGCGCUAAUAGAUGAGCCUAGGUCGGAUUAGCUAGGUGGUGGGGUAAAGGCCUACCAAGGCGACGAUCUGUAGCGGGGCUGAGAGGAUGGUCCGCCACACUGGGAAUGAGACACGGCCCAGACUCCUACGGGAGGCAGCAGUGGGGAAUAUUGGACAAUGGGGGGAACCCUGAUCCAGCCAUGCCGCGUGUGUGAAGAAGGCCUUAUGGUUGUAAAGCACUUUAAGCGAGGAGGAGGCUACUCUAGUUAAUACCUAGGGAUAGUGGACGUUACUCGCAGAAUAAGCACCGGCUAACUCUGUGCCAGCCGCCGCAGUAA
Molecule: ribosomal RNA, 501 nt
Filed under: uncultured bacterium
Lineage: Bacteria
Description: partial 16S ribosomal RNA
Rfam family: Bacterial small subunit ribosomal RNA
Source: RNAcentral